UAUCGGAACGUACCCUAGAGUGGGGGAUAACGUAGCGAAAGUUACGCUAAUACCGCAUACGAUCUAUGGAUGAAAGUGGGGGAUCGCAAGACCUCAUGCUCCUGGAGCGGCCGAUAUCUGAUUAGCUAGUUGGUAGGGUAAAAGCCUACCAAGGCAUCGAUCAGUAGCUGGUCUGAGAGGACGACCAGCCACACUGGAACUGAGACACGGUCCAG
Molecule: ribosomal RNA, 215 nt
Filed under: uncultured bacterium
Lineage: Bacteria
Description: partial 16S ribosomal RNA
Rfam family: Bacterial small subunit ribosomal RNA
Source: RNAcentral